UACGAAGGGGGCGAGCGUUGUUCGGAUUUACUGGGCGUAAAGGGCGCGCAGGCGGUUCUGUUUGUCGAGUGUGAAAGCCCCGGGCUCAACCUGGGAACUGCGCUCGAAACGGCGGAACUAGAGUUCGGGAGAGGAGAGUGGAAUUCCCAGUGUAGAGGUGAAAUUCGUAGAUAUUGGGAAGAACACCGGUGGCGAAGGCGGCUCUCUCGGAGCCGAUACGUGACGCUGAGGCGCGAAAGCGUGGGGAGCAACAGG
This 255-nucleotide ribosomal RNA is filed under the name uncultured bacterium. RNAcentral's name for it is "partial 16S ribosomal RNA". It matches the Rfam family "Bacterial small subunit ribosomal RNA", at positions 524 to 775 of the family's 1533-position model. The record is from RNAcentral.